RNAcentral lists this ribosomal RNA (582 nucleotides) under uncultured bacterium. RNAcentral's name for it is "bacterial SSU rRNA". It matches the Rfam family "Bacterial small subunit ribosomal RNA", at positions 102 to 670 of the family's 1533-position model. The record is from RNAcentral.
ACGGGUGAGUAACACGUGGGCAACCUGCCCUUGAGACUGGGAUAACUUCGGGAAACCGGAGCUAAUACCGGAUAAUAUAAGGAACCUCCUGGUUCCUUGUUGAAAGAUGGUUUCGGCUAUCACUUAAGGAUGGGCCCGCGGCGCAUUAGCUAGUUGGUGAGGUAACGGCUCACCAAGGCGACGAUGCGUAGCCGACCUGAGAGGGUGAUCGGCCACACUGGGACUGAGACACGGCCCAGACUCCUACGGGAGGCAGCAGUAGGGAAUCUUCCACAAUGGACGAAAGUCUGAUGGAGCAACGCCGCGUGAGUGAUGAAGGCCUUCGGGUCGUAAGGCUCUGUUGUUAGGGAAGAACAAGUGCGAGAGUAACUGCUCGCACCUUGACGGUACCUAACCAGAAAGCCACGGCUAACUACGUGCCAGCAGCCGCGGUAAUACGUAGGUGGCAAGCGUUAUCCGGAAUUAUUGGGCGUAAAGCGCGCGCAGGUGGUUUCUUAAGUCUGAUGUGAAAGCCCACGGCUCAACCGUGGAGGGUCAUUGGAAACUGGGGAACUUGAGUGCAGAAGAGGAAAGUGGAAUUCC